GAUGAACGCUGGCGGCGUGCCUAAUACAUGCAAGUCGAGCGAACAGAUGAGGAGCUUGCUCCUCUGACGUUAGCGGCGGACGGGGGAGUAACACGUGGAUAACCUACCUAUAAGACUGGGAUAACUUCGGGAAACCGGAGCUAAUACCGGAUAAUAUAUUGAACCGCAUGGUUGAAUAGUGAAAGACGGUUUUGCUGUCACUUAGAGAUGGAUUCGCGCCGCAUUAGCUAGUUGGUAAGGUAACGGCUUACCAAGGCAACGAUGCGUAGCCGACCUGAGAGGGUGAUCGGCCACACUGGAACUGAGACACGGUCCAGACUCCUACGGGAGGCAGCAGUAGGGAAUCUUCCGCAAUGGGCGAAAGCUUGACGGAGCAACGCCGCGUGAGUGAUGAAGGUCUUCGGAUCGUAAAACUCUGUUAUUAGGGAAGAACAAAUGUGUAAGUAACUAUGCACGUCUUGACGGUACCUAAUCAGAAAGCCACGGCUAACUACGUG
RNAcentral lists this ribosomal RNA (497 nucleotides) under uncultured bacterium. RNAcentral's name for it is "partial 16S ribosomal RNA". It matches the Rfam family "Bacterial small subunit ribosomal RNA", at positions 28 to 507 of the family's 1533-position model. The record is from RNAcentral.